ACCUACUUAACUCAGCGGUUAGAGUAUCGCUUUCAUAAGGCGGGAGUCAUUGGUUCAAAUCCAAUAGUAGGUA
Molecule: transfer RNA, 73 nt
Filed under: Plantago maritima (sea plantain)
Lineage: Eukaryota; Viridiplantae; Streptophyta; Magnoliopsida; Lamiales; Plantaginaceae
Also listed under: 1 other name
Description: tRNA-Met
Rfam family: tRNA
About the family: Transfer RNA (tRNA) molecules are approximately 80 nucleotides in length. Their secondary structure includes four short double-helical elements and three loops (D, anti-codon, and T loops). Further hydrogen bonds mediate the characteristic L-shaped molecular structure. tRNAs have two regions of fundamental functional importance: the anti-codon, which is responsible for specific mRNA codon recognition, and the 3' end, to which the tRNAs corresponding amino acid is attached (by aminoacyl-tRNA synthetases). tRNAs cope with the degeneracy of the genetic code in two manners: having more than one tRNA (with a specific anti-codon) for a particular amino acid; and 'wobble' base-pairing, i.e. permitting non-standard base-pairing at the 3rd anti-codon position.
Source: RNAcentral